GACGAACGCUGGCGGCGUGCUUAACACAUGCAAGUCGAGCGGUAAGGCCCUUUCGGGGGUACACGAGCGGCGAACGGGUGAGUAACACGUGGGUGACCUGCCUUUAGCUCUGGGAUAAGCCUGGGAAACUGGGUCUAAUACCGGAUAUGACUCCAUGAUGCAUGUUGGUGGGGUGAAAGCCUUGUGCGGCUGGAGAUGGGCCCGCGGCCUAUCAGCUUGUUGGUGGGG
This 228-nucleotide ribosomal RNA is filed under the name uncultured bacterium. RNAcentral's name for it is "partial 16S ribosomal RNA". It matches the Rfam family "Bacterial small subunit ribosomal RNA", at positions 28 to 257 of the family's 1533-position model. The record is from RNAcentral.